GAUGAACGCUAGCGGCAGGCUUAAUACAUGCAAGUCGUGGGGCAGCAGGGGCGUAGCAAUACGCUCGCUGGCGACCGGCAAACGGGUGCGGAACACGUACACAACCUUCCUUUAAGUGGGGAAUAGCCCGGGGAAACCCGGAUUAAUACCCCGUAACAUAAUGAAGUGGCCUCGCUUUAUUAUUAUAGCUCCGGCGCUUGAAGAUGGGUGUGCGACUGAUUAGGCAGUUGGCGGGGUAACGGCCCACCAAACCUACGAUCAGUAACUGUGGUGAGAGCACGACCAGUCACACGGGCACUGAGACACGGGCCCGACUCCUACGGGAGGCAGCAGUAAGGAAUAUUGGUCAAUGGACGCAAGUCUGAACCAGCCAUGCCGCGUGGAGGAUGAAGGUCCUCUGGAUUGUAAACUUCUUUUAUCUGGGAAGAAAUCCAUGAAUUCUUUUGUGGUUGACGGUACCAGAUGAAUAAGCACCGGCUAACUCCGUGCCAGCCGCCGCCGUAA
Molecule: ribosomal RNA, 504 nt
Filed under: uncultured bacterium
Lineage: Bacteria
Description: partial 16S ribosomal RNA
Rfam family: Bacterial small subunit ribosomal RNA
Source: RNAcentral